This is a long non-coding RNA of Nilaparvata lugens (brown planthopper), 389 nucleotides long. RefSeq lists it as uncharacterized. Lineage: Eukaryota; Metazoa; Arthropoda; Insecta; Hemiptera; Delphacidae. The record is from RefSeq and is a predicted model, not a curated record. The transcript is spliced from 2 exons.
UCAGGUUCUGUUUUAUUCUAUUGGACUUGUCAGUUGCAUUUAUGAUCCAGAAGAGAUUUUAUUAGCAGCAGCCACAAAAGGAUUUCUAAUUGAUAAAAAGCUCGCUAUUCAUGGACCACCUAUAGGAGCCCCUGUUUUAGUGCUAGGUGGACCACCGGGUUUUGGACCACUACCCUUUGGUGGCCCAUUCCCCUUCGGUGGGGGGCCCAUACCACCUCCAUUCUUCGGCCCAGGACCAUUACCGCCAUUUUUUGGACCAGGAGCCCCCUUCUUUGGACCACCGCCUUUUCCCAUUUAGGGAACCCAAACAAUUAGAAGCUUUACCAUUGAAAAUGUUAUUAGAUGUAUAAUGUAUCAAAUAAAAUCUGUUGUUUUCUUAUCAAAAUGGA